UGGCGGCACUAGCGCGGUGGUCCCACCUGACCCCAUGCCGAACUCAGAAGUGAAACGCCGUAGCGCCGAUGGUAGUGUGGGGUCUCCCCAUGCGAGAGUA
This 100-nucleotide ribosomal RNA is filed under the name Salmonella enterica subsp. enterica serovar Typhimurium str. DT104. The record is from RNAcentral. Lineage: Bacteria; Pseudomonadati; Pseudomonadota; Gammaproteobacteria; Enterobacterales; Enterobacteriaceae.